UGACCUCGGAUCAGACGUGAUUACCCGCUGAAUUUAAGCAUAUUAUUAAGCGGAGGAAAAGAAACUAACAAGGAUUCCCCUAGUAACGGCGAGUGAACGGGGAAGAGCCCAACACCGAAUCCCUUGGCGCAAGUCAACGGGAAAUGUGGUGUUAAGGUAGCCCUUCGUGUCAGUCUAGGCGUCUCAAGUCCACCUGAUUGUGGCUCAAGCCCAGAGAGGGUGUAAGGCCCGUAGAGACGCUCCGACUGAUUCCUGGGGUUUACCUACGAGUCGGCUUGUUUGGGAAUGCAGGCCAAAGCGGGUGGUAAACUCCAUCCAAGGCUAAAUACUGGCACGAGUCCGAUAGCGGACAAGUACCGUGAGGGAAAGUUGAAAAGAACUUUGAAGAGAGAGUUCAAUAGUACGUGAAACCGCUUAGAGGCAAACGGAUGGUGCUCAUACUGGCCUGAGGAAUUCAACUGUGACGGUGGCUGGACGAGCUGGCGUUCCGAUCUCUCUUUUGGGACGGGCGUCGGUUUGGCUAUCAGCUCCGACAUGGUGCACUUUCCUUGGUGCCUCCGCCACGACCGACGACACUGGCUACCCGCGGCUGGGGUAAGGUGACAAACUGCUUCGGCAAUUUGUGUUAUAGACCCCGGCGUCGGACAUGGUUUGGCCAGGACGUCGAGCUUGCGGCGCCCGCUCCUUGUGGGCUCGCAUGUUGGCUAGCUUGGCUGCGCCGAUGCUUGCACUGGACAACCAGUACAGGUGACGGUUGUGGUCUUGUCUCUAGUUGGCCUCUGCGAGUUUGGCGCCUAUAGUCUGUGGUGUACUUGUGGGUAGACUAUCCGACCCGUCUUGAAACACGGACCAAGGAGUCUAACAUGUGCGCGAGUCAUGGGGAUUCUACGAAACCCAAAGGCGCAGUGAAAGUAAAGGCCUGCUUCUCGUAGGCUGAGGUGGGAUCUCGUGCAUCGCGAUUGGCGAGCGCACCACCGGCCCGUCCUAUCUGUCUCUGUCAGUGGGGCGGCGCAAGAGCGUACACGUUGGGACCCGAAAGAUGGUGAACUAUGCUUGCGCAGCUCGAAGUCAGUGGAAACACUGAUGGAGGAGCGCAGCGUUUCUGACGUGCAAAUCGAUCGUCAAACGUGAGUAUAGGGGCGAAAGACUAAUCGAACCAUCUAGUAGCUGGUUCCCUCCGAAGUUUCCCUCAGGAUAGCUGGCACUCGGGAAACAGUUUUAUCCGGUAAAGCGAAUGAUUAGAGGCAUUGGGGUCGAAACGACCUCGACCUAUUCUCAAACUUUAAAUGGGUAAGAUGCUCGUCUCGCUUAAUUGGAGGCGGGCUUCACCUCUCUAUAAACGUGAAUGUGAGUGCCCAGUGGGCCAUUUUUGGUAAGCAGAACUGGCGCUGUGGGAUGAACCAAACGCGCGGUUAAGGCGCCCAAUGCGGACGCUCAUGAGACACCACAAAAGGUGUUGGUCGAUACUGACAGCAGGACGGUGGCCAUGGAAGUCGGAACCCGCUAAGGAGUGUGUAACAACUCACCUGCCGAAUCAACCAGCCCUGAAAAUGGAUGGCGCUGGAGCGUCGGGCCUAUACCGUGCCGUUGGGGCGAAGCAGACAAAUAAUCUGUGUGGAUGUCCCAACGAGUAGGAGGGUCGCCGUGGUGAGCGCAGAAGGUGCGGCCGUGAGGCCGGCUGGAGCCGCCACGGGCGCAGAUCUUGGUGGUAGUAGCAAUUACUCAAGUGAGAACCUUGAGGACUGAAGUGGAGAAGGGUUCCAUGUGAACAGCAGCAGUUGAACAUGGGUCAGGCGGUCCUAAGCGAUCGGGUAACUCCGUACCUAGACGAGGGUGACAACUAUCACUGAUAAUACUGUGAAGUGUUAUAGCCCUCCGGAGCGAAAGGGAAUCGUGUUAAUAUUCACGACCCUUACCGUGGAGAUCGCCCCUUUCGGGGGCGGGGGCAAGUGCGUAACGCAAACGAACACAGAGACGUCGGCUGGAGCCCCGGGAAGAGUUCUCUUUUCUUUGUAAGGAGCGUACCCCCUGGAAUCGGCUUGUCCGGAGAUAGGGGCGUGGCUUCCGUAAAGCAGCGCGGGUCUUGCGCUGUCCGGUGCACUCUAGUCGGCCCUUGAAAAUCUGUGGGAGACAGUGUGAUUUUCACGGUAGGCCGUACCCAUAUCCGCAGCAGGUCUCCAAGGUGAACAGCCUCUAGUCCUAGAACAAUGUAGGUAAGGGAAGUCGGCAAAAUGGAUCCGUAACUUCGGGAAAAGGAUUGGCUCUGAGGGCUGGGUCGGAUGGGCUGGCGUAAGAAGCUGUUCCGGUUUUGGUGAGGACUGGGCGAGGCUUUCGGGCUUUACUCGGACCAUGCCGAGACCAGGCAGUAGACGACGUCACGUCAGCUGUGCUUGUCGUGUUUCGGCGCGGCAGCUUCGUCCGGCAACAAACAGCCAACUCAGAACUGGCACGGACUAGGGGAAUCCGACUGUCUAAUUAAAACAAAA
Molecule: non-coding RNA, 2486 nt
Organism: Macrostomum lignano
Lineage: Eukaryota; Metazoa; Platyhelminthes; Macrostomidae
Source: Rfam